Long non-coding RNA from Mus musculus (house mouse), 3479 nucleotides. RefSeq annotates it as RIKEN cDNA E130310I04 gene. The record is from RefSeq and is marked validated. Lineage: Eukaryota; Metazoa; Chordata; Mammalia; Rodentia; Muridae. The transcript has 3 exons.
GACGGCAUUUAACAUGUUGCUCCUGCCAGCUGGCAGGCAGCCACACCGAUGGCCCUGUCAGCACCGGCAGUGGAGAAUGAGAAACUCAACCAUAAAAGCGUUUCCUGGACUCACCCACGACCGUGAGGUUGACUUGGGCCUGCCUGCUGCCCAGCUUGUUCUCCACCACCAGUGUGUAGCAGCCACAGUGCUCCUGCCGCGCGGCCAGGAUGGUGAGCUUGCUGCCGCUCUCGCCAUUCUCCACCUUGAUAUGCUCGCUCUCCUGGAUCUGCGGGUACAGAUCAGGAUGUAAAGCCUCAGCUACUGCUGCAGUGCCAUGCCUGCCUGCCUGCCUGCCACCAUGUUCCACAGCACAAUGGUCACAGACUUGCUCUCUGAAAUUCUAAGCAAGACCCAGUUGAAUGCUUCCUUUUAUAAGUUGCCUUGGUCACAGUGCUUCUUCACAGCAACGGAACAGUGACGAAGACAUCCCUCAACUGUGUUAACCACAUUCCAUGCGCUCAACAGACAGGGCCAGUGGCUACCACACUGGAGAGCACAGAUGCAGAAAGGUUUCAUAACUGCAGUACGUUUUGUACUGAACUCGAUUAACUGGCUCUGAAAGGGACACAGUUCUGCCUUACCCAUCAGUCUAGACAGGCAGGGCCCCAUGUUCUUCUCCAUCUCCCUCAGAGCUAGUUCUCCUUCCCUCCUAGGUUCUCGUGGCUCAUCUCAUGACAAUUUGCAUGGUGUGAGAAUGCUGACAGAGCUUACAAAGAAUCCUCAUACCUUCUGCAAAGUGGUUUUUGAUCUUCCUAAUGCUGUAGCCCUUUAAUAUAGUUUCUCCCAUUUGGUGACCCCCCCCACCAUAAAAUUAUUUUGUUGCUAUUUCAUAACUGUAAUUUUGUUACUAUUAUCAAUUGUACUAUAAAUAUCUAUGUUUUCUGAUGGUCUUAGGUGACUUUAGUGAGAAGGUCAUUCAACUCCAAAGGGGUCAUGACCCACAGGUCAAGAACCAUUGCUCUAAUAGGUUCCCAGUGCAGAACCACCCAGCACAUUGGGAUGUCUGCUGAUCACACACAUGAGUGUCAUUACCAGUGUGAACACUGAGAAGCUGGGUCCUGAAAAAUUCCUUUCCAAACCGGUUAUUUGGAAAUUCAAAUGUUUUCAUAGGGAGCAUAUUAUAAAUUGUAGUUAUACUUCUGGGUCAUUCGGCCAAAAUUCUAUUUAAUGCAUAAUUUAUAUACCCAAAUACCUAGGCUUGCUUUGAUCUUUUAGCAUGUGUUAAGUGGAAGCUGUUAACCAGCCAGAACAGCAGUGAUGGUGUCUGAGGGGGUCACCUGAGGGCUUUGACUUCCUGCCUCCAAAAAGAAUUCUAGGCAGAUGGACUCAGAUGAGGGCAGGAGUAAUUUUAUUAAACAGACUGCCAAUAAAACCAGGGCUCAUUGGUAGAAACAGAAGAACAUGUCAGUAAGAACUCAGGUCUGGUGGAUAGGUUUCCUUUCCCCUUUCUUUUGUAACAAUCUUUCUUUUUCCGUAACCGGGUUUUGGGGUGCUAUGUAUCAUAUUAGGCUAUAUCCCUGGCCUCUGUGUUUUAUUUGAGCAGGACCCUGUAAGGUUGGCUGGGCUGGCCUUGAUCUUGCAAUUCUCUUGCCUUGGCCUUCCGAGUGCUGGGAUUCCAGGUAUGUAUCACCACACCCAGUGCUCUCCUCCACUUCCACAGUGAAACAGAGCACCGCCCCCUGGCCACCCAGCAUUUCUCAUCUUUUAGGCCCAGGGCUGGGCGUUGUCCUCAGGCCACCCGGCUUCCACGACUGACCUGCUUUCGGAACUUCAUCCACUUGCAGGUGAUGGGCUGGGUGCCAGCCACUUUCCCAAACAGCUCCACAGGUUCUCCUGCGCGCACCUUCUGGUCCUCGGGGAACUGGAUGAUUUGAGGGGGCAUAGCUAGGGGGGGGACAAGCAGAAUGUGAGUCGGGGCCUUAGACAUGGUGACCUCACUGGCACUGCUGGCCAUGGUAGAGCUCUCUUCCCGUCUGGAAUCUUUAAGAUAAGAAUGAAGGUACUGACCCCUGCUCCAAAAGCUCUGAAUGCAGGGACCCUGAUAGCCUUGUCUACCCUUUAGAAUCCCCAGAAGUGACCCACACAAUCUACACAACAUAGUUCUUCACGGAUUGAUUGUGGGGGAAAUUUGUGCCUCCCCAUAAUGGUUGGAAUCGCUGUCCCAAUGAUUAUUUCUUAAUUUAGCAUUACCUUGCAUCCAACCUUUCAGUUACCCUGGCUGAUAGGCUCAAUGUGGUUUGUGCCUUCAAAUGUCUCCCCAGGGACAACAAACCAUCCCAGAAAACAAGGACAUACAGAGCAGGGCCUAAAAGCACUAUGAUGUGGGUCACCCUCCUGGAAGGUAGAGACUGAGGCUGAGGCCUAACUUUGUAGAAGGGACAGGAAAGAAGCCACCAUCAGUAUAUGAUGUGGCACGCAUAGAUAGAGGCAGAGGAAGGAAGCAGGAGGGGACAGGGAUGAGGUACCAGCUGUUCCUAGGCUUCCUAGAGGAGAAGGAGGCAGCCCAGAAUGUGGAGCUUAGACAGGGCAAGGAUCUGCUGCCUACUACCCAUAUAUGGUCAGAAGUCAGAAGGCAGAGAAGAAGGCCCCAUGGCAGACGACCCCUAGCCCUCGGGUGGCACUGUGACUGUUACCUGCUUUUGUGGGUGUCUUGGGGGCAGGUUUCUUUUUCACAGUUGCGUCGCCUGAAACAAAAAAAAAGCUGACACGUUAUGACGUUAAGAUGUCAGUUCUGUUCAGGCCCCUCGUGUAUAGACACCCCUCAUUCUACUAUGUCUUCCCGUGGAUCUCCAUGCCCUGAUACAAUCUUAGGAUUCAAUGAAUGUCAGUCCUUGAGGGCCUCAGUAGGGGUCCCUCGGACCAGUGGGAUAGAAGUUCUCAAAACUCAAACGCCCCUCAUAGUCCUACUGAAAGAUGACAACCAAAAACUCACUAACUACAUGCUCACCCUAACUUUCAGGAAAUGCAGAAAGGAAAUUAUGUCAGAUACAGCAACUAAAAUUAGCCCUGGUAUGGAUCCAAGGGUCUCCGGCUUCCUUUAGGUCACAGGCUGUGACUGGUCGUUGUUUCUUAAACAACAAAACACAACAAAACAAAACUCCCCAAACCAAACCCUCAAUGAACGAAUCAGUGAAUGAAUGGAAGCUGGGAACAGCAGCCCCUGCCCAUGAUCAGCCUUGGGAGGCUGAGGGGAAAAGCACUUUCACAAGUUCAAAAGCUGCCUGGGCAGCACAGGGAGUUCCCAGGGAGCCUGGGAUGCUGGACACUAUUGCAAUCUCCGACCCUCAGAACUAAUGAAUAGUAUCUUGCCAUCUUUCCUCCCUACUCUACUUUUCUCAAAACUUAACAAAAAAUUAAAAAUAAAAACAUGACUCAGACAGAGACGCUUCAUAGCACAACUCAACCCAUCUGUCUAAAUAAAAAUAAGACACACAGGC